CGGAUAACGGGGGAGGAAGGGUGGGGAGUGACGUCAAGUCCGCAUGCUCCUUACGUCUAGGGCUACACACGUCCUACAAUGGGGUCGACAAGUGGGAUGCAAUAUCGCAAGAUGGAGCCAAUCCCCAAACGGCCUCUCAGUUCGGAUUGUAGUCUGCAACUCGACUACAUGAAGUUGGAAUCGCUAGUAAUGGCAGAUCAGCAUGCUGCCGUGAAUACGUUCCCGGGUCUU
This 231-nucleotide ribosomal RNA is filed under the name uncultured bacterium. Its description in RNAcentral is "partial 16S ribosomal RNA". It matches the Rfam family "Bacterial small subunit ribosomal RNA", at positions 1155 to 1382 of the family's 1533-position model. The record is from RNAcentral.